CUAUUAAUAAUCGCUUGAGAUGGGUUAUCUAUUGGUUUAUUAUUUUUGCUUUUUCUCAUGAUAUAGUGAUGUUUUUUUCGUAUGCUUCUAUUGCUAAGGCGGUAUUAAGCCUCGUACACACUUGUGAACCGAAUGGCAAAGUGCUCAAAGUACUGCAACAUUUCUCCGAUCCUGCAACAAAAGCGUGCAACAUAUCCGCAAUCCACCAGAUGUCGGUAUUUCUGCGAACCAUCAAAGGAUGUUGCGCGAUCAUGUUUAAGCAAGUCUGGACGGCUGUUGAUGAUCAGUAAAGGUAGUCGCUAGAAAGAUUGUUUGCUUAAACGCACGAAAAUGAAUGGUCAAAGGAUAUGACUUUAAAAUUUAUAGAAUCUUUC
Molecule: long non-coding RNA, 374 nt
Filed under: Androctonus crassicauda
Lineage: Eukaryota; Metazoa; Arthropoda; Arachnida; Scorpiones; Buthidae
Source: RNAcentral